RNAcentral lists this ribosomal RNA (497 nucleotides) under uncultured bacterium. Its description in RNAcentral is "partial 16S ribosomal RNA". It matches the Rfam family "Bacterial small subunit ribosomal RNA", at positions 28 to 507 of the family's 1533-position model. The record is from RNAcentral.
GACGAACGCUGGCGGCGUGCCUAAUACAUGCAAGUUGAGCGCUGAAGGUUGGUACUUGUACCAACUGGAUGAGCAGCGAACGGGUGAGUAACGCGUGGGGAAUCUGCCUUUGAGCGGGGGACAACAUUUGGAAACGAAUGCUAAUACCGCAUAAAAACUUUAAACACAAGUUUUAAGUUUGAAAGAUGCAAUUGCAUCACUCAAAGAUGAUCCCGCGUUGUAUUAGCUAGUUGGUGAGGUAAAGGCUCACCAAGGCGAUGAUAAAUAGCCGACCUGAGAGGGUGAUCGGCCACAUUGGGACUGAGACACGGCCCAAACUCCUACGGGAGGCAGCAGUAGGGAAUCUUCGGCAAUGGACGAAAGUCUGACCGAGCAACGCCGCGUGAGUGAAGAAGGUUUUCGGAUCGUAAAACUCUGUUGGUAGAGAAGAACGUUGGUGAGAGUGGAAAGCUCAUCAAGUGACGGUAACUACCCAGAAAGGGACGGCUAACUACGUG